CUCAACACAGUGCUACCCAGGUCUAGACCAAAUGAAAAAUCAGGUAGGAGAGAGCCUGCAAGGUGCAAUACACCACGCCCAAGAUAGAGAAUCCCUGGAGGCAAACGAUUGAUGGACUUCCUACAUGAUGCCACCACACCCCUCCGAGAGGUUUACGGACGACGAACGAACGAUACUCACGAUUUAGUAUCAAAAAUAGCUAUUUUCUGGACAAAUUAAUCUAAUGCCAUUUGAAGUGAAACAUUCUGUCUACUAGCUACAAGUUUGAUCUCUGUUACAAGCUUCUAUAAUAAUAACAUAUAAUAAGCAUCUUUGUUUGCUAAAUAACCGACAAUUACCACAAUUACUGUUAAAUCUUCUUAAUUAAUUAAUAAUAAUUCUUAAUAAAUUUUGGUGAAACACUAAUUGAACGCACCAUUUUUUUGUCAUUAAAGAUGUUGGAAUGACAGAUGGAAAGCCGACAAACAAAAAUUUAAUUUUAUUGGUUUUUGUAGAAAAACGAUGAUUAAAUCAGCCAUAAACUUUGCUUCAGAGAAGGCACGACUUGGCCUUAACGAAACAUAUGUUGCCUAAUGUGAACGGGAUUUUUUUCAAAAAGAUGGCAUCCGUAUGGAAAUAGGAUUAUCAUCUUCAAUUGCCAGUGCAAUUUUCACAAACAUUACCAGCGCAGUUUAUUACAUAUUCUUUGCACUCUCUUACAUAUUAAAUUUUUUUAUUCCUUUGAUAAUAACCGCUUCUUAUAUUCUGAUAUUGCCCCUACAACUAACUCUAUUGCCGAUUCGAAUUUUCAUAUUCAUAAUAACAUUUCCAGCAAGAAUUCUUCUAUUUUUACUGAAAGCUCUUUUGGUAUUUUUAGUAUUAUUUAUAUCGCCUGAAAGAUUGUACUAUAUGAUGCGCAACUUGCAAGAUGCAAUGAGAAACUUUCGUGUCACAGAUUUGAGAAGGUACUUUUAAUGUGAAAAAGGCGAAAUAUAAGCGAAUAAAAUCUCGACAAAGGUAA
This is a long non-coding RNA of Dendroctonus ponderosae (mountain pine beetle), 1000 nucleotides long. RefSeq lists it as uncharacterized. Lineage: Eukaryota; Metazoa; Arthropoda; Insecta; Coleoptera; Curculionidae. The transcript has 2 exons. The record is from RefSeq and is a predicted model, not a curated record.